UACGGGAGGCAGCAGUGGGGAAUAUUGCACAAUGGGCGAAAGCCUGAUGCAGCUAUGCCGCGUGUAUGAAGAAGGCCUUAGGGUUGUAAAGUACUUUCAUCGGGGAGGAAAAAACAAAACUAAUAAUUUUAUUUCUUGACGUUACCCGAAAAAGAAGCACCGGCUAACUCCGUGCCAGCAGCCGCGGUAAUACGGAGGGUGCUAGCGUUAAUCAGAAUUACUGGGCGUAAAGAGCACGUAGGUGGUUUUUUUAAGUCAGAUGUGAAAUCCCUGGGCUUAACCUAGGAACUGCAUUUUGAAACUGAAAUACUAGAGUAUCGUAGAGGGAGGUAGAAUUCUAGGUGUAGCGGUGAAAUGCGUAGAUAUCUGGAGGAAUACCUGUGGCGAAAGCGGCCUCCUAAACGAAUACUGACACUGAGGUGCGAAAGCGUUGGGGAGCAAACAGGGAUUUAGGAUACC
Molecule: ribosomal RNA, 459 nt
Filed under: uncultured bacterium
Lineage: Bacteria
Description: bacterial SSU rRNA
Rfam family: Bacterial small subunit ribosomal RNA
Source: RNAcentral